GCAUGGGGGAACCUGACCGCAAUGCCGCGUGAGUGAAGAAGGCCUUCGGGUUGUAAAGCUCUUUUGUCAGGGAAGAAACACCGGCUCUAACACAGUCCGGGAAUGACGGUACCUGAAGAAUAAGCACCGGCUAACUACGUGCCAGCAGCCGCGGUAAUACGUAGGGUGCAAGCGUUAAUCGGAAUUACUGGACGUAAAGCGUGCGCAGGCGGUUAUACAAGACAGGCGUGAAAUCCCCGGGCUUAACCUGGGAAUGGCGCCUGUGACUGUAUAGCUAGAGUGUGUCAGAGGGGGGUAGAAUUCCACGUGUAGCAGUGAAAUGCGUAGAUAUGUGGAGGAAUACCAAUGGCGAAGGCAGCCCCCUGGGAUAACACUGACGCUCAUGCACGAAA
Molecule: ribosomal RNA, 392 nt
Filed under: uncultured bacterium
Lineage: Bacteria
Description: bacterial SSU rRNA
Rfam family: Bacterial small subunit ribosomal RNA
Source: RNAcentral